UCAGAUGCGAAAGCGUGGGUAGCAAACAGGAUUAGAUACCCUGGUAGUCCACGCCGUAAACGCUGUCUACUUGGAGGUUGAGGUUUUAGACUUUGGCUUUCGGCGCUAACGCAUUAAGUAGACCGCCUGGGGAGUACGGCCGCAAGGUUAAAACUCAAAUGAAUUGACGGGGGCCCGCACAAGCGGUGGAGCAUGUGGUUUAAUUCGAUGCAACGCGAAGAACCUUACCUACUCUUGACAUCCAGCGAAGCCUUUAGAGAUAGAGGCGUGCCUUCGGGAGCGCUGAGACAGGUGCUGCAUGGCUGUCGUCAGCUCGUGUUGUGAAAUGUUGGGUUAAGUCCCGCAACGAGCGCAACCCUUAUCCUUGUUUGCCAGCACGUAAUGGUGGGAACUCCAGGGAGACUGCCGGUGAUAAACCGGAGGAAGGUGGGGACGACGUCAAGUCAUCAUGGCCCUUACGAGUAGGGCUACACACGUGCUACAAUGGCAGAUACAGAGGGCAGCGAGACAGCGAUGUUUAGCGAAUCCCUUAAAGUUUGUCGUAGUCCGGAUUGGAGUCUGCAACUCGACUCCAUGAAGUCGGAAUCGUUAGUAAUCGUGGAUCAGAAUGCCACGGUGAAUACGUUCCCGGGCCUUGUACACACCGCCC
This 649-nucleotide ribosomal RNA is filed under the name uncultured bacterium. RNAcentral describes it as "bacterial SSU rRNA". It matches the Rfam family "Bacterial small subunit ribosomal RNA", at positions 747 to 1395 of the family's 1533-position model. The record is from RNAcentral.